RNAcentral lists this transfer RNA (75 nucleotides) under Chrysemys picta bellii (western painted turtle). Its description in RNAcentral is "tRNA (ENSCPBG00000000037.1)". It matches the Rfam family "tRNA". From Rfam's summary of the family: Transfer RNA (tRNA) molecules are approximately 80 nucleotides in length. Their secondary structure includes four short double-helical elements and three loops (D, anti-codon, and T loops). Further hydrogen bonds mediate the characteristic L-shaped molecular structure. tRNAs have two regions of fundamental functional importance: the anti-codon, which is responsible for specific mRNA codon recognition, and the 3' end, to which the tRNAs corresponding amino acid is attached (by aminoacyl-tRNA synthetases). tRNAs cope with the degeneracy of the genetic code in two manners: having more than one tRNA (with a specific anti-codon) for a particular amino acid; and 'wobble' base-pairing, i.e. permitting non-standard base-pairing at the 3rd anti-codon position. RNAcentral also lists the same sequence under 2 other names. Lineage: Eukaryota; Metazoa; Chordata; Testudines; Emydidae. The record is from RNAcentral.
AUUCUAGUAGCUUAACCCAUUUAAAGCAUUGGUCUUGUAAACCAAAGACUGAAGACUAUCAACCUUCCUAGAAUA